AGUGUAUAUCUAUAUUGCUGAGGUUAAAAAGCUCGUAGUUGGAUCUGCGUGUCUAGCACCUGGUGCGGUCUUUGAUCGUUACUGGGAUGCGACACAUUGACUGUCGGUUGGCCGUUGAUGCUCUUAACCGGGUGUCAUUGGUGACUGACGAGUUUACUUUGAACAAACUAGAGUGCUCAACACAGGCGUUUCGCUUGUAUAUUUCUGCAUGGAAUAAUAGAAUAGGACCUUGGUUCUAUUUUGUUGGUUUUCGGAAUUGAGGUAAUGAUUAAGAGGGACUGACGGGGGCAUUCGUACUGCGACGUGAGAGGUGAAAUUCUUGGAUCGUCGCAAGACGCACUACUG
RNAcentral lists this ribosomal RNA (345 nucleotides) under uncultured eukaryote. Its description in RNAcentral is "bacterial SSU rRNA". It matches the Rfam family "Eukaryotic small subunit ribosomal RNA", at positions 596 to 945 of the family's 1831-position model. The record is from RNAcentral.